Molecule: RNA transcript, 1040 nt
Organism: Sapajus apella (tufted capuchin)
Lineage: Eukaryota; Metazoa; Chordata; Mammalia; Primates; Cebidae
Gene name: programmed cell death protein 7-like
Exons: 1
Source: RefSeq, a predicted model, not a curated record
CUAAUUGGGACUCCGAGCCGGGGCUAUUUCUGGCUCUGGCGCCGCUCCAAGAAGGCAUCCGCAUUUGCUACCAGCGGCGGCCGCGGCGGAGCCAGGCCGGUCCUCAGCGCCCAGCACCGCCGCUCCCGGCAACCCGGAGCGCGCACCGCAGGCCGGCGGCCGAGCUCGCGCAUCCCAGCCAUCACUCUUCCACCUGCUCCUUAGAGAAGGGAAGAUGAGUGAAUCGAGCUCGAAGUCCAGCCAGCCCUUGGCCUCCAAGCAGGAAAAGGACGGCACUGAGAAGCGGGGCCGGGGCAGGCCACGCAAGCAGCCUCCGGUGAGUCCCGGGACAGCGCUGGUAGGGAGUCAGAAGGAACCCAGCGAAGUGCCAACACCUAAGAGACCUCGGGGCCGACCAAAGGGAAGCAAAAACAAGGGCGCUGCUAAGACCCUGGAGAAGGAGGAAGAGGAGGGCAUCUCGCAGGAGUCCUCGGAGGAGGAGCAGUGACCGUGCGUGCCGCCUGCUCCUCACUGGAGGAGCAGCUUCCUUCUGGGACUGGACAGCUUUGCUCCGCUCCCACCGCCCCCGCCCUUUCCCCAGGCCCACCAUCACCACCGCCUCCGGCCGCCACCCCCAUCUUCCACCUGUGCCCUCACCACCACACUACACAGCACACCAGCCGCUGCAGGGCCCCCAUGGGCUGAGUGGGGAGCAGUUUUCCCCUGGCCUCAGUUCCCAGCUCCCCCGCCCACCCGUGCAUACACACAUGCCCUCAUGGACAAGGCUAACAUCCCACUUAGCCGCACCCUGCACCUGCUGCUUCCCCACUUCCUUGGUGAUGGGGACAUUGCUCUCUGGGCUUUUGGUUUGGGGGUGCCCUCUCUGCUCCUCUACUGUUCCCUCGGGCUUCCCAUAGUGGGGCCUGGGAGGGUUCCCCUGGCCUUAAAAGGGGCCCAAGCCCCAUCUCAUCCUGGCACGCCCUACUCCACUGCCCUGGCAGCAGCAGGUGUGGCCAAUGGAGGGGGGUGCUGGUCCCCAGAAUUUCCCCAGCCAAACUCUG